UACGUAGGGGGCGAGCGUUGUCCGGAUUAUUGGGCGUAAAGAGCGUGUAGGCGGCCAGGUAGGUCUGCUGUGAAAACUCGAGGCUCAACCUCGAGACGUCGGCGGAAACCAUCUGGCUAGAGUCCGGAAGAGGAGAGUGGAAUUCCUGGUGUAGCGGUGAAAUGCGCAGAUAUCAGGAAGGAACACCCGUGGCGAAGGCGGCUC
RNAcentral lists this ribosomal RNA (204 nucleotides) under uncultured bacterium. RNAcentral's name for it is "partial 16S ribosomal RNA". It matches the Rfam family "Bacterial small subunit ribosomal RNA", at positions 524 to 727 of the family's 1533-position model. The record is from RNAcentral.